Molecule: ribosomal RNA, 253 nt
Filed under: bacterium
Lineage: Bacteria
Also listed under: 2 other names
Description: partial 16S ribosomal RNA
Rfam family: Bacterial small subunit ribosomal RNA
Source: RNAcentral
UACGAAGGUCCCAAGCGUUGUUCGGAAUCACUGGGCGUAAAGGGAGCGUAGGCGGCGUGGUAAGUCAGAUGUGAAAUCCCGGGGCUCAACCCCGGAACUGCAUCCGAUACUGCCGUGCUUGAGGGUUGGAGAGGUAGCUGGAAUUAUCGGUGUAGCAGUGAAAUGCGUGGAUAUCGAUAGGAACACUCGUGGCGAAGGCGAGCUACUGGACAACAUCUGACGCUGAGGCUCGAAGGCUAGGGGAGCAAAAGGG